RNAcentral lists this ribosomal RNA (301 nucleotides) under uncultured bacterium. Its description in RNAcentral is "partial 16S ribosomal RNA". It matches the Rfam family "Bacterial small subunit ribosomal RNA", at positions 509 to 809 of the family's 1533-position model. The record is from RNAcentral.
CAGCCGCCGCGGUAAUACGUAGGUGGCAAGCGUUGUCCGGAAUUAUUGGGCGUAAAGGGCUCGCAGGCGGUUUCUUAAGUCUGAUGUGAAAGCCCCCGGCUCAACCGGGGAGGGUCAUUGGAAACUGGGAAACUUGAGUGCAGAAGAGGAGAGUGGAAUUCCACGUGUAGCGGUGAAAUGCGUAGAGAUGUGGAGGAACACCAGUGGCGAAGGCGACUCUCUGGUCUGUAACUGACGCUGAGGAGCGAAAGCGUGGGGAGCGAACAGGAUUAGAUACCCCCGUAGUCCCUGUCUCUUAUAU